This 82-nucleotide transfer RNA is filed under the name Ixodes scapularis (black-legged tick). It matches the Rfam family "tRNA". From Rfam's summary of the family: Transfer RNA (tRNA) molecules are approximately 80 nucleotides in length. Lineage: Eukaryota; Metazoa; Arthropoda; Arachnida; Ixodida; Ixodidae. The record is from Rfam by way of RNAcentral.
GCAGUCGUGGCCGAGUGGUUAAGGCGAUGAACUAGAAAUCCAUUGGGGUCUCCCCGCACACGUUCGAAUCCUGUCGACUGCG